This 426-nucleotide ribosomal RNA is filed under the name uncultured bacterium. RNAcentral's name for it is "bacterial SSU rRNA". It matches the Rfam family "Bacterial small subunit ribosomal RNA", at positions 359 to 776 of the family's 1533-position model. The record is from RNAcentral.
GAAUUGUUCGCAAUGGGCGCAAGCCUGACGACGCAACGCCGCGUGGAGGAUGAAGCUCUUCGGGUCGUAAACUCCUGUCGAGCGGGACGAAUGUUCCGUGGGCUAACAUCCCGCGGAAGUGACGGUACCGCUACAGGAAGCCCCGGCUAACUCCGUGCCCGCAGCCGCGGUAAUACGGGGGGGGCAAGCGUUGUUCGGAAUUACUGGGCGUAAAGGGCUCGUAGGCGGCCAACUAAGUCGGAUGUGAAAUCCCCAGGCUUAACCUGGGAACUGCAUCCGAUACUGGAUGGCUUGAAUUCGGGAGAGGGAUGCAGAAUUCCAGGUGUAGCGGUGAAAUGCGUAGAUAUCUGGAGGAAUACCGGUGGCGAAGGCGGCAUCCUGGACCGACAUUGACGCUGAGGAGCGAAAGCCAGGGGAGCAAACGGG